RNAcentral lists this ribosomal RNA (400 nucleotides) under Trypanosoma brucei. RNAcentral describes it as "5.8S ribosomal RNA". The stretch from base 136 to 303 matches the Rfam family "5.8S ribosomal RNA". The record is from RNAcentral. Lineage: Eukaryota; Euglenozoa; Kinetoplastea; Trypanosomatida; Trypanosomatidae.
AUGCUCUACAUAAUAUACAGUAGUAAUAACACAGAGAGUACGUAUGGAAUGCGUAUCUCUCUAUAUAUAUUUAUGAUAUAUAGCUAGUGUGAUAUCAACCUCGCAUAUUUUCUCUCUGUUGACCACGGCUCCCACAACGUGUCGCGAUGGAUGACUUGGCUUCCUAUUUCUUUGAAGAACGCAGCAAAGUGCGAUAAGUGGUAUCAAUUGCAGAAUCAUUUCAUUGCCCAAUCUUUGAACGCAAACGGCGCAUGGAGAGAGCUCUCUCGAGACAUCCCCGUGCACGCCCAUUUCUCAGUGUCGAAUAGAGAAACAAACACACGCCUAUUUUUUGUGGUUCAACGCACGCAAAAAAUCCCCCCCCCUCUUUUCCUCGUGUGGGGCAUAUUCAUGUUUGUGA